Olea europaea var. sylvestris is the source of this 3371-nucleotide RNA transcript. It is a transcript of the gene named AUGMIN subunit 6-like, with no coding region annotated. The record is from RefSeq and is a predicted model, not a curated record. NCBI's taxonomy places the organism in Eukaryota, Viridiplantae, Streptophyta, Magnoliopsida, Lamiales, Oleaceae. The transcript has 14 exons.
ACAGCGGCAACUAUAAAGUCUAUGAGCACCGGUCCCGAUGUUGGCCGACGAAUAAGUGAAGCGGCACACAUUAGAGACCAACCCCUCACACCCACCGAGCAUUUCAAAAUUUUCCUGAUUCAUUCGUCCAGCCGGGCCCCACCUAACUAGGAAAAUCUCAGUUUCACCCCAAAAUUCAAAAUUAGAGGCAUUUUCGCAACUUAAACAAUCCUCAAGGUGUCAUCAUUUCAAAGAUUACACAAGUAUGCCAUAAAAGUGAUACCAAAACAAAUCAAAUAGGAAACAAAACCAACCCGAAUCUUACGCACAGCGAGAGGGGGGAGUGUGUUUAAUGACAAUGGAUAGGGAGAAAGAGAGAGAGAUAGAGCUGGAGAGUGCGAUGUACACGAAUUGCUUGUUACUUGGUCUGGAUCCAGCCGUAAUCGGAAUCGGGUCGAACAACGGGACUCCUCGGGUCGGACUAUUCCGUCAUUCCAAUCCGAAAUUAGGCGAACAGCUUCUAUACUUCAUCCUUUCCUCUCUCCGUGGCCCUAUUCAAUCCGCCAAAGACUUUGAUAAGGUGUGGCCGAUUUUUGAUUCGGCUCAGUCUCGUGAUUUUCGAAAGGUUGUGCAGGGGAUUAUUAGUGAUCUUGAAUCCCAAGGGGCGUUGCCAAGGAGCAAUUCGAGGGUUUCAUCACUUGCCACUUGCUGUGGACCAAGAUUCGUCGAACUUCUGUGGCAACUUUCUUUGCAUGCUUUGCGAGAAGUUCACAAACGAACAUUUGCAGCUGAUGUCUCAUACAACCCGCUCCCUGCUCCAUUGACAGAUGUAGCUUUCUCGCAUGCAGCUACAUUACUUCCUGUAACUAAGGGUAGAAUAGCUCUAGAAAGACGAAGAUUUCUGAAAAAUGCCGAGACAGCAGUUCAGAGACAGGCCAUGUGGUCCAAUCUGGCUCAUGAAAUGACAGCUGAGUUUCGUGGUCUAUCUGCUGAAGAUGCGUAUCUACAACAAGAGCUUGAGAAACUACACGAUUUAAGAAACAAAGUGAAGUUGGAAGGUGAACAUUGGGAUGAGCUUGUGUCUAGUUCAAGUCAGAACUCUCAUAUUGUUCAGAGAGCUACUCACUUGUGGGACUCCUUGUUAUCUCGCAAGAGUCAACAUGAAGUUCUCGCGUCAGGCCCUAUUGAGGAUCUUAUAGCUCAUCGUGAGCAUAGGUAUCGCAUCUCCGGUUCAUCUUUGUUGGCAGCAAUGGAUCAAAGCUCUCUAGUUCCAUCUGCUAAUCAACCUCCGUCACACCUCAAUAAUGGGGAAAUUGAUGGUCUGAAAGAAAAUGUAAACAAAGAGAAGAACGAAUUUAAAUUAGAUUAUUCCUAUGCUCAAGGAAACGAUGGAAAAAAAUCUCAAGUAGAUGAAAGAAGCGUGAGAGGGCAGCCAACUGUUGAUAUAGCAGAAGUUUUGAGGCGUUGGACACAUGCCCUACAACGCAUACACAAACAAUCACUGCAAUUGGCAAAAGCGAAUGAUGGAGAGGGUCCAGAGCUCCUACGAAGUAUGCAUAAUGGUGGUACCCCUAGUCAUGCCGAGUCUUUGGCUGCAGCACUUGUUGAACAUAAGCAGCAUCUGGAUAGCAUACAGGUGCUAAUCGAUCAACUGAAGGAUGUUGCUCCGUCCAUACAGAAUUCAAUCUCAGAGCUUACAGAGGAAGUUAACAGUAUAUCAUCCCAUCUCCCCUCUGUGAGUAAACAACAUAGCAGAUUGAACUCGCCUAUCCAGGCACAGGGCAGUGGAAGGAUAUUGGAAAGUGUUCUUGAUGAUUUUGCCGAGAUGACCUCAAGAUUAUCAUCUUUGCAGCUUGAAAAGGCAUCAGCUAGCCCCCCUGCUUUAAAAUUGCCACCACUGUUUAGCUCCGCGCCAAAUUCUUCUGGAAAAAGUGGGAACAUGCAAAAACGUCAUGCUAUACCUCAAAUUAAUCAAGUGGAAAAUAUUUCUGACAAGAAGUCUGUGGAACAGCCUCUUUCAAAGAAUAAUAUAGAUAACCCACCACAUGCAGAUGAUGAUCAUUUUUUCCUCCAAAACUUGAAGAGAUCUGUUAGAGAAGCUGCUCUUUCAUCUCAAUCCUAUAACUUGGAGUCUUCCCAAGACAGCCGUUCUGAUGAUAGCUCUGAACACUUCUUUGUACCGCUUCCAGGGUCUGGGCUUUCCCGUCUUGACCAAGAGAAGAAGCCUAAUUCACUGAAAAGUAGACAAUUAUUCACAGCUCAAACAGAUCCUUCCUUGCUUGAGGCUUGUGCUCCAGACAAUCAUUUUGGGGGCAAGUAUAAUGGAAUCAGUUACAUGUUAAAUGAUUUGGAUUCACUCAACGACUUUGACAGUGUCAAAGGCUUCCUCUCUGCCAUUGGUUCAAAUUCUUCAGUUUCUGAUGCACAUAGAUCAUUUUAUGACAUGGAUGAAACUCAAGAUCAAAUUUUCUCACCUCCUUUGCUACUAGACACUUCACUAUUUGCAGAUACGUACGAGGAUUUGCUUGGGAAAUGUGGUGUAUUCUUAGCUGCCUGUUAGCUAACCACGUGUUACUUCAGCCCUUGAAAAGCAAUUUUAAAUUCUCCACCACCGGAGGAGAAAAUUUAAAAGAUUGCAAAGAAUUAGUAUCCUGAAAGGUGCUUCCAUCUGUACCGGAGGAGAAAAUGUAAAAAUUGCAAAGAACUAGUAUCCUGAAAGGUGCUUCCAGCUGUUGGAAUUCUGUGGCUUCCUUUUUGUAGUGAAGUUAGAGCCAAUAUUUUUCCGCCUCUUCUUUGUUUCUGUAUUAGCUCCAUUAUCAGAAAUUGAAACGGCUUUGAUGGAAGGUUGAUAUCAUAUCCAUCUGGCCAAACUUGCUGCUUUACCUCCAAAGAGCCUCCGUGGAAUUUUCUUCUCAUUCCAGAACGGGGAAGUCUGGGAUACAGUAACCUCCUCGCACCAUCCAUAAUGUGGCACUUACUGUUUCUGUUUGUUCCCGCUUUGGAUGCCUGCUCUUUUGUUGAUGGCAUUGUUAUUUGCUCAACACGUACUUGUGCUUUUUUGUAGUGGGGUGGGUUGUUUGAUCGGCUUGGUAUAUAUUGGACUUCCCACGUUUCUUGUCCAGAAAGAAAGACGAGGCUAGGUGGAAGAUUGGCAUCUGGCCUAAGAUCAAGUCUCGGGUAAUCAAGGUUCAAUCUUUUUAUCCAUGAAUAUUUUGUUCAUUUGUAAAGAUUCAUGCUGAAAAACCAAUUUAUUGGUUACUUUAUUGUAUUAAGCAGUAUAAAAUCUUUUCUGAUGCAUUUGGGGUUGUUCAUAGAGCAUUUGUAUUAUAUCUUUUGAAAAUUCAUUUUUCGCUCUUACUCUUUCCUAAUAUUAUUAGAUUAUUUUUGAGCUA